Molecule: non-coding RNA, 409 nt
Filed under: Pan troglodytes (chimpanzee)
Lineage: Eukaryota; Metazoa; Chordata; Mammalia; Primates; Hominidae
Source: RNAcentral
GUAUGGGGUGGGGGUGGCGGUGGAGUGCGUCCUGGCGCAGAGCUGGCACACAGCACAAACAAACGCCUUGGCGGGAGUGGGUCUGUCCCGGAAGGGAGCCCAGGGGUUAUUGGGGUUGGGGCUGCGCCCCAAAGCGGGAGGGCCCUGCGAGAAGGGAGGCCCUGGCUGGAGGGGGUCCCUGAGACUGGAGGUGCCGGACCCGGAUGCGGGGCCAGAUGGAGACAACAGGAAGGAAAGAGACCUUCCUCGUCACACUUGGGCCGCAGGAGAACAGGCAGCGGCCCAGGAGGAUCCAGGGUCCUGAUGGUGGUUGAGAAGCUGGUUCUUAGUGAUCACUCAGAAACGUCGGCCUGGCCUUGUGGGGUCAGACCUUGCAUCUCAGUCAGCCCAGGGAGAAGAAGAAGAUGGU